UUGUUCGACUUGGUACAAUAAAUGAAUUUGUUAUACCAGUAAAACAGGAAGGCCUCAUAUUCUCCCUUCCGCAGACUCGCCUCUCCUCGACCGGCAAAAUGGAGGAUAAGGGUGUUGUAGUUCAGGAAAUUCUUUUGCAAUUUCUAAACAUCGGUUUUUGAAGGCUUUUGACCUUCCUGACUCAAAGUCUCGACAGCCCGACCGUCGAACAACGCCAUGAGGUCAAGAUUGGAAGGGCAUCUGAUAAGGGUAGCGUGGAUCGGGAUGCUGGAAGGAGGUGUCCCAAUGAUAGUUUAGAUGUCAAGGAUGGUAGGAGUCAUAGGGCCGAAUGGAAUGACCAUGGUGUUAGUGGCCGAGCACUAGAGGCUAAGAGUUGCCAUGAGAAGCUCUUUAUCCAUUGUAAUCUCCAUGGUAGAGAGCUUGAUGGCGUCGUAAAGAUCGAGAGUUUUCCACUCCUUACCAAAAAAUCUUUCCAUUCAAAUGACCCAUGCCACCCAAUUCGCAUUGGGCGAAGGCCAGGAUCCUUAGGGUUUUGCCUGACACCACUUCAACCAAUAAAAUCCUUGCAACAAAUCUGCCAAACAGUGUUCUUUUAACAAGUUUGUGAUGGAUGACGGCACCGUAUCCUUAAAGAGUGGACCCAGAACUUGGUGAGUAGUGCUUGACUCACCCUCAAAAUGCAGAGUUUUGAUAGCAUGAUGAUCGGUGAAAUCCUUGCACUUGUUGCACUCAUAAGAGAGUUUUGAGACAAAGAAAGCCACUGAGGAAAGGUUAGAAAUUGCUGAGAUAAAAGGAUCGAAAUUUUUUAUUUUACAGCGGCAAGAAAACUUCAAGGGUUUUGAAAAGCGUAAGGUACGAAUGGGAGAAGUCCAGGUAUUUAUAGAUAUUUGGGAAUGAAAGGCUAAACGGUUGAUUUUCAAAAUCAAGGGUAGAAUCAAGCAAGAGUGAUACUAAUCAUUAUACAUGCUCAGAAAACUAAGGCAAAAGGAUCAAGAUUUUCACGAAUUGAGGACACACGAUGGUGUGUUACAGCGUUCAAAGUCAAGAGAGACGUUUCGACGGUUGCGUGUUUUCAAGGAUCAUGAUUGAAGAAUGCUAGGGUAACCAGGGGGUUAACACGUGACCACACAAUUUGGAAAUCAAGAUCGUGGGAUUACGUCUCAUAAGCACGCAUGGGGACGGUUCCUGAGAGUUGGUUUCACUUCUUCAAGGUCGAGGCAAUGUAGAUCGACGACCUCAGAAGUGAGGGGGCAAUGUUUAGGCCGAGUUUAGAUUCAUUCUCGGCCCAGAAGUCGUGUACAAGUGUUAUUGAUAUUUAGUCCAUGGGUCGCACGGUUAAAUUUGGCCAUACCAUAUAGGAAGUUGGAAUGUAGACGAAUCCUAUUUUGAAAAGGAGUUACGAUGGGAUCAGGAUAAUGAGAUUGAAUAAAGUUUGAUAACAAGUUACGUUCAAAGUCCUAUUAGGAAUAGGAUUGGCCGAGAUAAAAGAGUUUUAAUCCGAGAAGGAUUGGGAUUCAAUACAGGUUGGCCGCUAUAAAUAGAGAAGGUUGUGCAUCAUUCAAGCCCCCUUCAAUUCAACACACAACUGCCAUGUGCAAAUUCUCUCAACAACCUUGAGACUUUUUCUCUUUCUCUUUUCGCCGACACACUUUCAGUUUGAAUAAAUAGCACUGUGAAGGCAACCGGUGAUAUCUUCAGUCGGCAUAAAUAGCACUAUCACCGUAGAACCAGCCAAUCUCGCAGCAUCUUCAGUCGGCAUAGAUAGCACUGCGUCGAGGGUGACUG
RNAcentral lists this long non-coding RNA (1785 nucleotides) under Malus domestica (apple). RNAcentral's name for it is "long non-coding RNA (MDOM_LNC008561)". Lineage: Eukaryota; Viridiplantae; Streptophyta; Magnoliopsida; Rosales; Rosaceae. The record is from RNAcentral.